This 305-nucleotide ribosomal RNA is filed under the name uncultured bacterium. RNAcentral describes it as "bacterial SSU rRNA". It matches the Rfam family "Bacterial small subunit ribosomal RNA", at positions 337 to 659 of the family's 1533-position model. The record is from RNAcentral.
GCCUACGGGGGGCAGCAGUGGGGAAUUUUGCCCGGUUGUGGAGACCCUGAUGCAGCGACGCCGCGUGAAGGAAGGAGUAUUUCGGUAUGUAAACUUCUAUCAGCAGGGAAGAAAAUGACGGUACCUGACUAAGAAGCCCCGGCUAACUACGUGCCAGCAGCCGCGGUAAUACGUAGGGGGCAAGCGUUAUCCGGAUUUACUGGGUGUAAAGGGAGCGUAGGCGGUGCAGCAAGUCAGAAGUGAAAGCCCGGGGCUCAACUCCGGGACUGCUUUUGAAACUGUUGAACUAGAUUGCAGGAGAGGUA